Molecule: long non-coding RNA, 2193 nt
Filed under: Sinocyclocheilus grahami
Lineage: Eukaryota; Metazoa; Chordata; Actinopteri; Cypriniformes; Cyprinidae
Description: lncRNA (ENSSGRG00000039429.1)
Source: RNAcentral
GUACAUAAACAUCUCCAGUAAUCCCUUUAUUUAGAACCAAUCUAUUGUCCAGAGGGGGGUGGGGGUCUUUUCCCAAGGGUGCAGUUCUAGUGUCCUGUGUGAAUGUUUACAGCCCCCUUUUUUGGUUUUAUUAUAAAAACUUAAAUGAUUUUAUCUCUGUUUUGUCUUGACAACCAGGUGAACCAAGCCAAUCAGUCCAACCCACUGGGCUCUGGACUGGGGUACCUAGAGCACAUCUGCCAGCUCAUAGAGAAGAUCGGACAGCUACAGGAACACAACCUUCGACUACAGAAACAGAUCUGUGGCCUGCAGAAGGAAGGCAGGGUGAUCAAGGCUAAAGAGGACUUCUUCAUGCAGCACUGUAGCUGUGGAGCAGCCAGCUUGGCCUUCCAAGAGCUCAAGAGACACUUUCGCAGUGACCACUACAGCCUGACGGCAUCAAGCGGCACACUGUCUGACCUCAGCACAAUCCCUGAGGUCACGCGCAUCCCCCUCAGGGCAGCCAUGGGAGAUGGUGACAUGGGUUGCCAACCUGCUCUUCCUGUUUGGAGGAGGGGUCUGAAUCGAAGGAGCUACACAGAGGAAGAGGCCAAGUACCUGAGUGACAGCGCUGAGGUCCUCUCCGCUCCUCACAGACGGUUGAGUGAGAACUAUACAUGGGGAAGAGUGAAGGAAAUGGUGAAGAAGACCAAACUGAGGAACCAAAGCCGGCUGGGACUGUCUUCAGGCUCCCUGAAGAGAUCAUGUCCACAGCUUUACCGCCCAGAUGUGAUGCCAGCAGAACGGCCCAGGACAAACAGAAACUCCAUGAUCGCUCUGGGACAUCAGAAACUGGACUAUCUGUGGCCACAGUAGUAUAACUCAGACAUUGAGCAGAUGGCCUGCGAUGGGGCAGCUUUUCCAAAAAGCAAAGCACAAAGUGGUAGUUUUUGCCAUUUGCAGAUGGUUUUCCAGACUGAGGAACAAGAUAGGAGAGAAAUGCACAAGAAAACAAUGAAUGGGAUUGGAGUAAUGAUAGAAAAAAGUUGGUAUCACGUGUAUAGGUAAUACUAAGAGAGAUGCUUAUAUGUUGAUUAAAGUGUUAAGUUGACCUGUUGAUGGAGCUCGUUUGUGUGACAUCACAUUUCUGUAAAUGUCAUUAAUUCAGAUGAAGCACUCAUUAGAUUUGUCAGCUAAUGAGGUACUAUUAAAGACGAUAUAAACGUGGAAAUGAUUUACAGAAUGUGAACAGAAGGGAAUUACAGAAAAUCCUUAUGUAUAGUCUAAUGUAAAUUUCUGCCAGGACAAUUUACCAGAUGCUGUCCUAAUUGUAAAAUACUUGAAAUACAUCCAAAUGAUAACAAAUGUUGAACAUGCAUGCUAUAUCUUUAUAUAUAUAUCAUUUCGUACCACUAUUAUAAGAAGUGCCGUAAGUGAGUAUACAGAUAUAACAAAUAUGCAUGUAUGUAUCCAUGAUGCAUGGAUCAUAUGUGAAGAUGAGAGUGGAUAAGAGGUGCUCCCACGUCUGAAUUCCUCUAUCUACAGACAUACAGUGGGUACGGAAAGUAUUCAGACCCCUCUAAAUUUUUCACUCUUUGUUAUAUUGCAGCCAUUCGCUUAUGAUAACAUGUAAAUUACUUAUGGCAGUUCUGUACGCAGCUCGCCUGUCUGAUGUUAUAUAAUGUGUGAUUUUUCCGCCUCUCUAAAAGUUUGAGAGUGUGAACCUGAAAUAUCAUCCUAAAAUAUAGAUUGAAAAGUGCUUCCUGCCAAAUAUUAGUCCAAAGACAUAAACGCAGAAUAAAAUGCAGUAUAAAAUGGUCAUAAAUCUUUACUAAUCUUAUAAGUGUACCUCAGGGAGAAAACGUAAAUAAAAAAAACUUAUGAAUUGACCCCUUGAAAUAAAUAAGGUGUUUAAUUCAACAUCAGUUUUCUAAUUAAACUUCUUUAACGCGAUAUUGUUCUGGCCAGGAAAGUGUAUUAAAACACGGUUUCCAUAUAGUACGGUCUUUUGAAGUACGCUUGACUUAUCGUUUCAUAGUCACUGUACUGAGUAAUGGUGUUAAACUGUGUGUAAAAAUUAAUGAGAGAUGAAGUAUGGCAGUUUUUUGUCUAUUAGGGACAGAAGACAAGACCAAGAGAUUUUGUACUUAUCUUGUGUUGUAGUGUACCAAAUGGACAGAAUAAUUCAAUAUGCAUAUUGCAUUGUUAUUCAAA